AGCGAACGCUGGCGGCGUACUUAACACAUGCAAGUCGAACGGGGGAUCGUCGGUGUAGCAAUACAUCGGCGGUUCUAGUGGCGCACGGGUGAGUAACACGUGGGUAACCUGCCCUUGAGUUCGGGAUACCCUUUCGAAAGGAAGGCUAAUACCGGAUACGUUCCUCGGAUUGCGAAGUCUGGGGAGGAAAGGUGGCGCAAGCUGCCGCUCUUGGAGGGGCUCGCGGCCUAUCAGCUAGNGGUGAGGUAACGGCUCACCAAGGCUAUGACGGGUAGCUGGUCUGAGAGGACGACCAGCCACACGGGAACUGAGACACGGUCCCGACUCCUACGGGAGGCAGCAGUGGGGAAUUUUCCGCAAUGGGCGAAAGCCUGACGGAGUGACGCCGCGU
Molecule: ribosomal RNA, 391 nt
Filed under: uncultured bacterium
Lineage: Bacteria
Description: bacterial SSU rRNA
Rfam family: Bacterial small subunit ribosomal RNA
Source: RNAcentral